This 70-nucleotide transfer RNA is filed under the name Bromius obscurus. RNAcentral describes it as "tRNA-Gln". The record is from RNAcentral. Lineage: Eukaryota; Metazoa; Arthropoda; Insecta; Coleoptera; Chrysomelidae.
UAUACCUAAGUAUAUUUUUGUAUAAAAAUUUUUGGAAUUUUAGGUAAUAGUUUAAGUCUAUUAGGUAUAA